This is a transfer RNA of Schizosaccharomyces japonicus yFS275, 93 nucleotides long. It matches the Rfam family "tRNA". From Rfam's summary of the family: Transfer RNA (tRNA) molecules are approximately 80 nucleotides in length. Their secondary structure includes four short double-helical elements and three loops (D, anti-codon, and T loops). NCBI's taxonomy places the organism in Eukaryota, Fungi, Ascomycota, Schizosaccharomycetes, Schizosaccharomycetales, Schizosaccharomycetaceae. The record is from Rfam.
GUCACUAUGUCCGAGCGGUUAAGGAGUUAGACUUGAAUUCGUUCAGGCAUCUAAUGGGCUAUGCCCGCGCAGGUUCAAGUCCUGCUGGUGACG